CUUUUCUCCCCACCCCACCCCUGCCCCUCAUGGGAUUCCCUCUCUUUCUCUGCUCCCCUCGCUCACUUGUGCCCUCUCUCUCUCAAAAUAGAUAGUGGCCUCUCUCUCAAGGCCACUGACUUGGCCUUGAAAGCUCAAAGCUCUCCAACAGACGUGGGCAGAUUCGGCCUCUGUCUCUCCCUGUGCGUACUCAGGGUGGGGAACCACCUCGGUGUCAGUGCCUCGUGCCUUCUGCCCGGUGAAGGGAGCGCCCAGGGUAGCUCUGCAGUCUUCCCUUGGUGAUUUUUGUACACGCAGCGCAGCUGGGCCGGCCCCGGGUCGCACCGAGCUCCAGGAUCAGUGACAAUGGACAACGCAUCUUCAUCCUGACUUGUGUGGCAGAAAGCAGAGGAACCUCUGUGGCCUACAGCCGGAUGCCUCUGGGACCCCGGACCCCUGUGUCCCGCGGAGGGUCUGUCCUCGGUGUCUCCUUGAGGCCCCGGGGACAGUGCUGUGGCCUUCACCCGCGCGGUCCAGGACGCAGUCAGUAACAGCGGCUCCCUCCCCGUCUCAGCGCUGCCCUUGUGGGCAGGGCCAGGGAUCCUGGGAGGGGACAGUGUUCGAUCAGGUCCCCAAGGCUGCAGGGCCCUGGCCCCUCCGGAGCCUGGAUAACUCUGCCUAUUUGUCAACGCCGCCAAGGAUCUCACCCUGCGGG
This is a long non-coding RNA of Leopardus geoffroyi (Geoffroy's cat), 694 nucleotides long. RefSeq lists it as uncharacterized. NCBI's taxonomy places the organism in Eukaryota, Metazoa, Chordata, Mammalia, Carnivora, Felidae. The transcript has 3 exons. The record is from RefSeq and is a predicted model, not a curated record.